GCAAUGGUGUUCAGUGGUAGAAUUCUCGCCUUUCAUGUUGAAGACUGGGGUUCGAUUCCCAGCCAAUGCA
Molecule: transfer RNA, 70 nt
Filed under: Loxodonta africana (African savanna elephant)
Lineage: Eukaryota; Metazoa; Chordata; Mammalia; Proboscidea; Elephantidae
Rfam family: tRNA
About the family: Transfer RNA (tRNA) molecules are approximately 80 nucleotides in length. Their secondary structure includes four short double-helical elements and three loops (D, anti-codon, and T loops).
Source: Rfam by way of RNAcentral